This 191-nucleotide small RNA is filed under the name Arabidopsis thaliana (thale cress). RNAcentral describes it as "ATSL168780". Lineage: Eukaryota; Viridiplantae; Streptophyta; Magnoliopsida; Brassicales; Brassicaceae. The record is from RNAcentral.
UUUAAACUCAAACAUGUAACCAAUCAUGUAGAAUUCCAUAGAUCUCUUUGAUUUGGGUUUUGAUUUUUGAUGACUUCAAAUUCGACACCACUGAAAGAGUUUUGGCUGGAAGAGACGAGAUAAAUAGAGAAUGACAACGAAAUUAGGGUUCCGUCUACUGAACGAGAGAAGAGAGCGACAAUUUUUUUUCU